UUGGAGGGCAAGUCUGGUGCCAGCAGCCGCGGUAAUUCCAGCUCCAAUAGCGUAUAUUAAAGUUGUUGCAGUUAAAAAGCUCGUAGUUGAAUUUCGGGGUCAGUAGGUCGGUCGUGCCACUGGUAUGAACUGGUUUUACUGAUUCCUCCCUCUUGAAGAACUGUAAUGCCAUUAAUUUGGUGUUGCAGGGAAUCAGGACUGUUACUUUGAAAAAAUUAGAGUGUUUAAAGCAGGCUUUAGCUUGAAUACAUUAGCAUGGAAUAAUGAAAUAGGACGUUUGAUCCUAUUUUGUUGGUUUCUAGGAUUGACGUAAUGAUUAAUAGGGAUAGUUGGGGGCAUUAGUAUUCAAUUGUCAGAGGUGAAAUUCUUGGAUUUAUUGAAGACUAACUACUGCGAAAGCAUUUGCCAAGGAUGUUUUCAUUAAUCAAGAACGAAAGUUAGGGGAUCGAAGACGAUCAGAUACCGUCGUAGUCUUAACCAUAAACUAUGCCGACUAGGGAUCGGAUGAUGUUAAUUUUUUAAUGACUCAUUCGGCCCUUACGGAAAC
Molecule: ribosomal RNA, 547 nt
Filed under: uncultured Glomeraceae
Lineage: Eukaryota; Fungi; Glomeromycota; Glomeromycetes; Glomerales; Glomeraceae
Description: SSU rRNA
Rfam family: Eukaryotic small subunit ribosomal RNA
Source: RNAcentral